Molecule: long non-coding RNA, 297 nt
Organism: Armigeres subalbatus
Lineage: Eukaryota; Metazoa; Arthropoda; Insecta; Diptera; Culicidae
Exons: 3
Source: RefSeq, a predicted model, not a curated record
UUUUGCCAGCGGCAGUUUUUUUUUUCUCGAUGCCGGUGAAGAUCUGGUAAGGAAACCCAAAAUUUAAACAGCAUGUAAUGCAUAAUCAUCCGGUUUCAUCGACUACGCGGGAAUACACCACUUCGAAAGCGCUAGCGGAUUCAUAAAAUUUUCUAAUCCGUAAAGAUCUGCUUGUGAACCUUGGAAAGGUAAAGUUGUUGAGUGUUCCGUACACUAAAAUGGUCCUGAAAACACACCUCAAAGUAUCCCGCCUUCCACCCUCGGUAAUGGUGGAGACCGUGACUAGAUCAUCCGUUC